This 254-nucleotide ribosomal RNA is filed under the name uncultured bacterium. RNAcentral describes it as "partial 16S ribosomal RNA". It matches the Rfam family "Bacterial small subunit ribosomal RNA", at positions 524 to 776 of the family's 1533-position model. The record is from RNAcentral.
UACGUAGGGGGCGAGCGUUGUCCGGAAUUAUUGGGCGUAAAGAGCUCGUAGGCGGCUUGGCAAGUCGGAUGUGAAAACUCCAGGCUCAACCUGGAGCCGCCAUUCGAUACUGCUAUGGCUAGAGUCCGGUAGGGGAGUGUGGAAUUCCCGGUGUAGCGGCGAAAUGCGCAGAUAUCGGGAGGAACACCGAUGGCGAAGGCAGCACUCUGGGCCGGCACUGACGCUGAGGAGCGAAAGCGUGGGGAGCGAACAGG